UAGGGAAUAUUGCGCAAUGGGCGGAAGCCUGACGCAGCGACGCCGCGUGGGGGAUGACGGCCUUCGGGUUGUAAACCUCUUUCGACUCUGACGAAGCUUUGUGGGUGAUACUGCGGGGUGACGGUAGGGGUAGAAGAAGCACCGGCCAACUACGUGCCAGCAGCCGCGGUAACACGUAGGGUGCGAGCGUUGUCCGGAAUUAUUGGGCGUAAAGAGCUCGUAGGCGGUGUGUCGCGUCGGCCGUGAAAACCUGCAGCUUAACUGUGGGCUUGCGGUCGAUACGGGCAUCACUGGAGUUCGGCAGGGGAGACUGGAAUUCCUGGUGUAGCGGUGAAAUGCGCAGAUAUCAGGAGGAACACCGGUGGCGAAGGCGGGUCUCUGGGCCGAUACUGACGCUGAGGAGCGAAAGCGUGGGGAGCGAACAG
RNAcentral lists this ribosomal RNA (425 nucleotides) under uncultured bacterium. Its description in RNAcentral is "bacterial SSU rRNA". It matches the Rfam family "Bacterial small subunit ribosomal RNA", at positions 355 to 775 of the family's 1533-position model. The record is from RNAcentral.